CGUGCCAUUGACUCUGGCUUGCCCAUCAAAGUAGUGCAUGUGAAGUUCCCAUCUCAAGAAGCUGGCAUGCCAGAGGGAAAAGAGAAUAUCGACAUGCUCGACUCCAUGGAGCUGAUGAUACCUUUCUUUAAAGCGGUUAACAUGCUCGAAGAACCGGUCCAGAAGCUCAUGGAAGAGAUGAGCCCUAGGCCAAGCUGCUUAAUCUCUGACAUGUGUUUGUUUUAUACAAGCAAACUCGCCAAGAAGUUCAAUAUACCAAAGAUCCUCUUCCACGGCAUGUGUUGCUUUUGUCUUCUGUGUAUGCAUGUUUUACGCGAAAAUCUUGAGAUCUUGGAGAAUUUGGAGUCAGACAAAGAGUACUUCACUGUUCCUUAUUUUCCUGAUAGAGUUGAAUUCACAAGACCUCAGGUUCCUGUGGAAACAUAUGUUCCUGGAGACUGGAAGGAGUUCUUGGAUGAGAUUAAAGAAGCGGACAAGACAUCCUAUGGAGUGGUGGUCAACACAUUUCAAGAGCUGGAGCCUGCUUAUGUCAAGGGCUACAAGGAGGCAAGGUCAGGUAAAGCAUGGUCCAUUGGACCUGUUUCCUUGUGCAACAAGAUAGGAGAAGAUAAAGCUGAGAGGGGAAACAAGGCGGUCAUUGGUCAAGAUGAAUGUUUUAAAUGGCUUGAUGCUAGAGAAGAAGGGUCGGUGCUAUAUGUUUGCCUUGGAAGUAUCUGUAAUCUUCCUCUGUCUCAGCUCAAGGAGCUUGGGUUAGGCUUAGAAGAAUCCCAAAGACCUUUCAUUUGGGUCAUAAGAGGUUGGGAAAAGUAUAAUGAGCUUGCUGAGUGGAUCCUAGAGAGCGGCUUUGAAGAAAGGGUGAAAGAGAGAGGGCUUCUCAUAAAAGGAUGGGCACCUCAAGUGCUUAUCCUUUCACAUUCUUCUGUUGGGGGAUUCUUGACACAUUGUGGAUGGAACUCAACUCUUGAGGGGAUAACCUCUGGUCUCCCACUCCUCACAUGGCCUCUAUUUGCAGACCAAUUCUGCAAUGAGAAACUAGUUGUGCAGGUACUAAAGGCCGGUGUGAAAGCCGGGGUUGAGCAGCCUAUGAAAUGGGGAGAGGAAGAGAAGAUAGGAGUGUUGGUGGAUAAAGAAGGUGUUAAGAAGGCAGUUGAAGAGUUAAUGGGUGAGAGUGAUGAUGCAAAGGAGAGAAGAAGAAGAGCCAAAGAGCUUGGAGAGUUAGCUCACAAGGCUGUGGAAGAAGGAGGCUCUUCUCAUUCUAAUAUCACUUCCCUCUUAGAAGACAUAAUGCAACUAGCACAAUCCAAUAAUUGAUUAUGUCAUUGUUAAAAGAAAUACAAAUAUUUAUACAUUCUUUAUUUGGAGGAUAGGAGACUUAGUCCAACACGUCCAUAAAGUUAGGUUAAACUUCUUUUAAACAUAUCUAAAAACUUUAAUGAACAACUAGAAUUUUUGGUGGAUUCUCAACCAAGUAAAUCAAAUAUAAAUCUGUCAUAUAAGUUUGAUAUCGUCAGCUUCCUUUGGUUUUUGUUCACUCAUUUUCUAUAUUGCUCCUUUUUGCAUUCACCUUUCUAAUCUUUGUUUGAUCUAAUUCUUAAAAGUCUUAUCAUCUCAUUAUCUAUAGAAUCUUUUUCCAUUACCGAACUCAGGAAAGAAACAUUCACACGAAAGUGUUGUAGGCUCUGGACCUAUGUUCUUUUUUUUUAUUGAUUGUGAUUUUUGAGGCUUCUUGAUACAUAUAGCUGUCUUGAAAAGAGUCCAAAGUUGGAUUUAUCUUCUCGUACUGUUUAUAUUGGAUUGGAGUUUAAUCGAUCUUUAAAGUUUCAAACACUUCUCCUUGGGGUUAAAUUAUUAAUUUAGGUGCCUUUAUUGUAACAAUUUAAGGAUUUACAGAACAUGUAGCUAUCAACAGGCCUCCAAGUUGUUGUUUUUGUGUCUGAAUUAUCUUCUUUGUGUAAGGGAAAGUCAUUACAGGAUGCAAGAUAGGGUCGCAAAGGGACAAACUAUGGAUACACAAUCUGUGGACUGUAUUGGAUGUGUUUGUCAAGUAAAAUCUAUUUUACGUCAUGUAUUACGUCUUCUGUUCAGUUUUUUUUUUGCUCUCCACGCAUCUUUGUUCUAUAUAAGCUCUCUCGCUCUCACAAAUAUAAUCCAGAACCAAGACAAAACUUGAGAGUUUAUCAUCAGCAUGGGUUCUGAAACAGCUAAAAAAUCUUAUCCUCUUCACUUUGUUCUCUUCCCUUUCAUGGCUCAAGGCCACAUGAUUCCCAUGGUGGAUAUCGCAAGGCUCUUGGCUCAGCGAGGUGUGACCAUAACCAUUGUCACAACGCCUUACAAUGCAGGGAGGUUCAAGAAUGUUCUAAGCCGUGCCAUUGAGUCAGCUGGCUUGCCCAUCAAGGUAGUGCAUGUGAAGUUUCCAUCUCAAGAAGCUGGUAUGCCAGAGGGAAAAGAAAAUAUAGAUUUGCUCGACUCCAUAGAGAUGAUGAUACCUUUCUUUAAAGCAGUUAACAUGCUCGAAGAACCGGUUCAGAAGCUCAUGGAAGAGAUGAGCCCUCCACCAAGCUGCUUAAUCUCU
Molecule: long non-coding RNA, 2572 nt
Filed under: Brassica napus (rape)
Lineage: Eukaryota; Viridiplantae; Streptophyta; Magnoliopsida; Brassicales; Brassicaceae
Description: long non-coding RNA (BNAP_LNC004001)
Source: RNAcentral